GGGGAAUAUUGCACAAUGGGCGAAAGCCUGAUGCAGCAACGCCGCGUGCGGGAUGACGGCCUUCGGGUUGUAAACCGCUUUCAGCUCCGACGAAGCGCAAGUGACGGUAGGAGCAGAAGAAGGACCGGCCAACUACGUGCCAGCAGCCGCGGUGAUACGUAGGGUCCGAGCGUUGUCCGGAAUUAUUGGGCGUAAAGGGCUUGUAGGCGGUUUGUCGCGUCGGAAGUGAAAACUCAGGGCUUAACCCUGAGCCUGCUUCCGAUACGGGCAAACUAGAGGAAUGCAGGGGAGAAUGGAAUUCCUGGUGGAGUGGUGGAAUGCGCAGAUAUCAGGAGGAACACCAGUGGCGAAGGCGGUUCUCUGGGCAUUUCCUGACGCUGAGAAGCGAAAGCGUGGGGAGCAAACA
This 406-nucleotide ribosomal RNA is filed under the name uncultured Microlunatus sp. RNAcentral's name for it is "bacterial SSU rRNA". It matches the Rfam family "Bacterial small subunit ribosomal RNA", at positions 356 to 774 of the family's 1533-position model. The record is from RNAcentral. Lineage: Bacteria; Bacillati; Actinomycetota; Actinomycetes; Propionibacteriales; Propionibacteriaceae.